CUUACCUCGUCAUGAAGAGCCGUCUGCCGCAGAUAAACAGAACAAGUCGCUAACAGCCAACACAACUGUCAGUUUCCAGUUGCUCAGGAGAUGAUAAUCCUCUCCUUGGAAGCAACCCCACCUGAGUGCUGCAGACACCACAAGUGUUCACCUCUCACCUCCCCACCGCACCGGAGGGAGUCUCCGUGUGAGCUUAUGUCUGGAACUCUGCCUGUCUGAAAAGCAAUUACGCUACAGAACCAACAUUAGUCACAGAAAUGUUUCCAUUCAUGCCUCACGUCACCAGGCACUUUGGUUCCAGCACCGCCACACAGGUGAGUAAUCUGUCUGGCAUUGCAGCACCAAUAAUAGAAUUGACAAUUAGACAGUUUGAUUGAAGAAUUACCUAUCUCUUCACUUACAGCUGUUGAUGUAACAUUCAUUAAAAGAGGGACGUUUCAGUUUAGCAGCUUUGACAUGGUAAUUUGGAAUUAUAGAAAUGUUUGUAUUUCACACAGAAAAUCUCACAUUGAUCAAAAUACAACAAUAAAAACACAAAGCUUAGAGCAAUUUGGAACAAUUUAAUCUUUGAAAAGCCAUGGUUCAUGAUAGCUAUUAUUAAUGUUAUAAUUUGUUUGUCUUUUUUUUCCACAAGAGCUUUUUCUCUGAACAUAUUUAUAAGUUUAUUUCAUAUUUCUAUAUUUCCUUUGGUCAUAUUUUGUUCUUCGUUUUGUGAUUCUGUUUUGUAGGUUUUCACUUAUUUUAGAUUUUCUGUUUUCCUUGCUUUGCCAAUGCUCUGCAUCGCGAACUUGUUGAUUUGAAUCCAUCUCAAUGACGUCAAUUUACGAUGAAAAAACAAAUGCGACAUGGAUGGAGAAAAAAACCCAGGCAUUUAUCACGUAGGCACAUUUCUUU
Long non-coding RNA from Xiphophorus hellerii (green swordtail), 894 nucleotides. RefSeq lists it as uncharacterized. NCBI's taxonomy places the organism in Eukaryota, Metazoa, Chordata, Actinopteri, Cyprinodontiformes, Poeciliidae. The record is from RefSeq and is a predicted model, not a curated record. The transcript has 3 exons.